This 67-nucleotide transfer RNA is filed under the name Hypsiprymnodon moschatus (musky rat kangaroo). RNAcentral describes it as "tRNA-Cys". The record is from RNAcentral. Lineage: Eukaryota; Metazoa; Chordata; Mammalia; Diprotodontia; Potoroidae.
GGCUUUGAAGUAUAUAUUACGUUGAAUUGCAAAUUCAAAGAAGCAGCUGCGUAGGUUGCCAAGGCUU